Non-coding RNA from Heteronotia binoei (common prickly gecko), 72 nucleotides. The record is from the annotation of a RefSeq genome assembly. NCBI's taxonomy places the organism in Eukaryota, Metazoa, Chordata, Lepidosauria, Squamata, Gekkonidae.
GGGACUGUGGCUCAGUGGCAAAGCAUCCGCCUUGCCUGCAGAAGGUCCUGGGUUCAAUUCCCAGCACUUCCA